UACGAAGGGGGCUAGCGUUGCUCGGAAUCACUGGGCGUAAAGCGCACGUAGGCGGACUCUUAAGUCGGUGGUGAAAUCCUGGAGCUCAACUCCAGAACUGCCUUCGAUACUGGGAGUCUCGAGUCCGAGAGAGGUGAGUGGAACUCCUAGUGUAGAGGUGGAAUUCGUAGAUAUUAGGAAAGAACGACCAAGGUGGCGAA
RNAcentral lists this ribosomal RNA (200 nucleotides) under uncultured bacterium. RNAcentral's name for it is "partial 16S ribosomal RNA". It matches the Rfam family "Bacterial small subunit ribosomal RNA", at positions 524 to 719 of the family's 1533-position model. The record is from RNAcentral.